RNAcentral lists this ribosomal RNA (265 nucleotides) under uncultured archaeon. RNAcentral describes it as "partial 16S ribosomal RNA". It matches the Rfam family "Archaeal small subunit ribosomal RNA", at positions 717 to 982 of the family's 1478-position model. The record is from RNAcentral.
ACACGACUACAUUAGAUACCCCUGUAGUCCCAGCCCUAAACGAUGCGCGUUAGGUGUAUCGGUGACCACGAGUCACCGAGGUGCCGAAGGGAAACCGUGAAACGUGCCGCCUGGGAAGUACGGUCGCAAGGCUGAUACUUAAAGGAAUUGGCGGGGGAGCACCACAACGGGUGGAGCCUGCGGUUUAAGUGGACUCAACGCCGGGAAGCUCACCGGAUAAGACAGCGGAAUGAUUGCCGGGCUGAAGACCCUGCAUGACCAGCUG